UGAGCUAGAGUAAACUGUCAAGACUUAAAACUUAUUCAUUUUACCUUUCACCAUGGGACUUGUAACUGUCACUUCUGUCCUGAGUAGUUAAAAGAUAGAACAGUCUAGUCAAGUGCCAUGUCUCUUAUUCUUGAUCAGCUAUAGCUCUGGAGGCUUUGCAGAUUUUCAAAUAAAACUCAGAGUUUCCUUGUAUGACUCUCUCAGAUCUCUCUUUUGUGGUAUUUCUAGAUCCUUACCAAGGCAGUGAUGGUAUAUGCCUUCUCUCAAAGUAUGUAGUAUUUGUGGUAUAAGGCAUAGUGACAUUGCCUUCUCUCUCACCUUACUUUAAUAAGGCUUUUGAUAUCUGGAGCUCAUAGGUGGGAGAUAAAGUAUACAUACUUACAAGACAUUUAUUGCAUAGUCAAACCAUGGAUCCAAAGAAACAAAUCAAUAAGUCAAAUCAAGAUGUGCAUGUGUGGCAAAUGAAUGGUGUAUGGUGAUGAUGGUGAUAACAAUGGUGAAAGCCUAAUUCUACUUUUGCUCUUUGAGGGGAUACAUACCUUCCUUGCUUUUUGAAAUUUUAUGAGGAGAAUGAGAUGCUCUUCUUUUUUCUUUUUCUUUCCUCUCAGGUGGGUAUCUUGUACCCCUAAUUCUACUGUCGGACACUUGUCCAUUUUUACCUCUCGUCUCACUCUUUUUCUUUCUUCCGAGGUUCCAGGCACUUGCCCCUUUUUAUUUCCUCGUAUUUUCUCUUUUUUUUAGAGCACUCAUUGUAACAGAACCGACCAAAUUAUAAGAGAUUAAGCCUAAUAGUGACCAUUUGCAUAGUCAAACCGUCGAGCUUAUGCCCAUAUAAUCCCGGUAGUCCGUGAAAUCUCGAAGGAUUUCAAACCACAUAUCGUACAUACAUCCAAGAUCGUAAUAAGUUUAGCGGUCGCCAUCCACAAAUACAUCCAGAUUACAACAUUCAUAAAAUACAUCGGUGUUCUUAAAGUUAUUACAAACCAAGUUCUCAGGUAGCGGAAGCUUCAUAGUUCGAAAAUACAACACACACACUUAGUCUGAUACAGUGCC
This 1053-nucleotide long non-coding RNA is filed under the name Sorghum bicolor (sorghum). RNAcentral's name for it is "long non-coding RNA (SBIC_LNC003178)". The record is from RNAcentral. Lineage: Eukaryota; Viridiplantae; Streptophyta; Magnoliopsida; Poales; Poaceae.